Molecule: transfer RNA, 24 nt
Filed under: Calamagrostis stricta subsp. groenlandica
Lineage: Eukaryota; Viridiplantae; Streptophyta; Magnoliopsida; Poales; Poaceae
Description: partial tRNA-His
Source: RNAcentral
GGCGGAUGUAGCCAAGUGGAUCNA